Molecule: unclassified non-coding RNA, 631 nt
Filed under: Hevea brasiliensis (rubber tree)
Lineage: Eukaryota; Viridiplantae; Streptophyta; Magnoliopsida; Malpighiales; Euphorbiaceae
Source: RNAcentral
UGAAGUUUUGCUGAAGGUUGGGCGCAAUAUAGAAGCUAAAGAUGCUGCUAGGGGGGCUUUAAAAUCACCAUGGUGGACUUUGGGUUGCGAAUACCAUGAAGUUGCUAAUAUGGCUGAAUGGGAAGAUGAACAAAUUGAGUAUAUCAAAGAGAAAGUAACUGAGGAGGGUAGGGAAGCCGAUCUAAAGAAAGGGAAGCAACCUGCUCAGGUUGCAUUGGAUGAAGCUGCUUUCUUGUUGGAUCUAGCUUCCAUUGACGGUUCAUGGGACGAUUGUGCAGAAAGGAUUGCUGAAUGCUACAAGGAGGCGGGCCUGCAUGAAGUUGCAAACUUUGUGGUUUACAGAGACUGAAAUACCAGCAACUUUGCUGAAUAUUAAACGUCUUACACUACUCCCUAUGAGUCCUAGUAAGUGGCCUAUUCAGUUUUGCCUCCAGCAGAGUGUACUCUAAUUCUUUCCAGAAAAACAAGAAGAGACUUCACAUCAGUCCUUUAAAUAUGCACCCCCUAUUUUGAUCUCCUCUCACACCGGGGUCAAUUGUAAAAGACCAAAAGUAAAUAUGUGUAAUAAGUAACUUGCAUUGAAGUUGAAGCAGGUGCAAAAUGUGUCACGAUCCAAACAUAUGUUUAGCAU